RNAcentral lists this transfer RNA (62 nucleotides) under Acanthosaura armata (armored pricklenape). RNAcentral describes it as "tRNA-His". Lineage: Eukaryota; Metazoa; Chordata; Lepidosauria; Squamata; Agamidae. The record is from RNAcentral.
ACUAGGAUAGUUUACAAAACAUUAGGUCGUGGCCCUAAAAACAGAGAACCCUCUUCCUAGUC